This 467-nucleotide ribosomal RNA is filed under the name uncultured bacterium. RNAcentral describes it as "partial 16S ribosomal RNA". It matches the Rfam family "Bacterial small subunit ribosomal RNA", at positions 28 to 507 of the family's 1533-position model. The record is from RNAcentral.
GACGAACGCUGGCGGCGUGCUUAACACAUGCAAGUCGAACGGAAAGGCCCUGCUUUUGUGGGGUGCUCGAGUGGCGAACGGGUGAGUAACACGUGAGUAACCUGCCCUUGACUUUGGGAUAACUUCAGGAAACUGGGGCUAAUACCGGAUAGGAGCUCCUGCUGCAUGGUGGGGGUUGGAAAGUUUCGGCGGUUGGGGAUGGACUCGCGGCUUAUCAGCUUGUUGGUGGGGUAGUGGCUUACCAAGGCUUUGACGGGUAGCCGGCCUGAGAGGGUGACCGGCCACAGUGGGACUGGGAUACGGCCCAGACUCCUACGGGAGGCAGCAGUGGGGAAUAUUGCACAAUGGGCGGAAGCCGGAUGCAGCAACGCCGCGUGCGGGAUGACGGCCUUCGGGUUGUAACCGCUUUCGCCUGUGACGAAGCGUGAGUGACGGUAAUGGGUAAAGAAGCACCGGCUAACUACGUG